This 447-nucleotide ribosomal RNA is filed under the name uncultured bacterium. Its description in RNAcentral is "bacterial SSU rRNA". It matches the Rfam family "Bacterial small subunit ribosomal RNA", at positions 29 to 523 of the family's 1533-position model. The record is from RNAcentral.
AACGAACGCUGGCGGCAUGCCUAACACAUGCAAGUCGAACGAGGGCUUCGGCCCUAGUGGCGCACGGGUGAGUAACGCGUGGGAACCUGCCCUGUGGUACGGAAUAACUCCGGGAAACUGGAGCUAAUACCGUAUGUGUCUUGAGGGACAAAGAUUUAUCGCCAUGGGAUGGGCCCGCGUAGGAUUAGCUUGUUGGUGGGGUAACGGCCUACCAAGGCUUCGAUCCUUAGCUGGUCUGAGAGGAUGAUCAGCCACACUGGGACUGAGACACGGCCCAGACUCCUACGGGAGGCAGCAGUGGGGAAUAUUGGACAAUGGGCGCAAGCCUGAUCCAGCAAUGCCGCGUGAGUGAUGAAGGCCUUCGGUUGUAAAGCUCUUUCGCACGCGACGAUGAUGACGGUAGCGUGAGAGAAGCCCCGGCUAACUUCGUGCCAGCAGCCGCGGUAA